Molecule: ribosomal RNA, 253 nt
Filed under: uncultured bacterium
Lineage: Bacteria
Description: partial 16S ribosomal RNA
Rfam family: Bacterial small subunit ribosomal RNA
Source: RNAcentral
UACGAAGGGGGCUAGCGUUGUUCGGAAUCACUGGGCGUAAAGGGCGCGUAGGCGGCUUUUCAAGUCGGGGGUGAAAGCCUGUGGCUCAACCACAGAAUUGCCUUCGAUACUGUUAGGCUUGAGACCGGAAGAGGUGAGUGGAACUGCGAGUGUAGAGGUGAAAUUCGUAGAUAUUCGCAAGAACACCAGUGGCGAAGGCGGCUCACUGGUCCGGUUCUGACGCUGAGGCGCGAAAGCGUGGGGAGCAAACAGG